This 68-nucleotide transfer RNA is filed under the name Marmota monax (woodchuck). RNAcentral's name for it is "tRNA.Ala". The record is from RNAcentral. Lineage: Eukaryota; Metazoa; Chordata; Mammalia; Rodentia; Sciuridae.
GGAUUGUGGCUCAGAGGUAGAGUGCUUGCCUAGCAUGGGUGAGGCCCUGGGUUUGAUCCUCAGCACCA